This 81-nucleotide non-coding RNA is filed under the name Cellulosimicrobium funkei. Its description in RNAcentral is "TPP sequence". It matches the Rfam family "TPP riboswitch aptamer (THI element)", at positions 9 to 90 of the family's 105-position model. Rfam says of the family: Vitamin B(1) in its active form thiamin pyrophosphate (TPP) is an essential coenzyme that is synthesised by coupling of pyrimidine and thiazole moieties in bacteria. The previously detected thiamin-regulatory element, thi box was extended, resulting in a new, highly conserved RNA secondary structure, the THI element, which is widely distributed in eubacteria and also occurs in some archaea. Analysis of operon structures identified a large number of new candidate thiamin-regulated genes, mostly transporters, in various prokaryotic organisms. Lineage: Bacteria; Bacillati; Actinomycetota; Actinomycetes; Micrococcales; Promicromonosporaceae. The record is from Rfam by way of RNAcentral.
GCACGGGAGCCCCCCACGGGGGCUGAGAGGGCGUCGGAGCCGACCGUCGAACCUGAUCUGGGUCAUGCCAGCGAAGGGAGC